Molecule: long non-coding RNA, 1131 nt
Filed under: Manihot esculenta (cassava)
Lineage: Eukaryota; Viridiplantae; Streptophyta; Magnoliopsida; Malpighiales; Euphorbiaceae
Description: long non-coding RNA (MESC_LNC001353)
Source: RNAcentral
UCGCCUUUAACAACACUGGGAAGAGGUGCUCGUGGCUAUGAUAGAUAGGAUGAAAGGGAUACCAAAGAAUUCAGAUUGAAAGUCGAUAUUCCUAACUUCAGCGGCUCUAUGACUAUCCUAGGGACAUGAAAACUAUGUCGGAAGAGGUGCUCAUGGCUAUGAUAGAUAUGAUGAAAGGGAUAGCAAAGAAUUCAGAUUGAAAGUAAUAUUCCUAACUUCAGCGGGAAUUUCACUAUUGAAGAAUUCUUGGAUUGGAUAGUGGAUGUGGAGAGAUUCUUUGACUACAUGGAGAUGCAAACCAUGGUUUUAAAUAACGGCCGUUAUGUAACGGGUUUUGGGGGCCGUUACCUGUUAUCCCGUUAUACAACGGCCCCUCCUGAUUUGCAGGCGUAACGAUAAUGGCCGUUACCGACUGUUACAUAACGGUAACGGCCGUUACCGACUGUUACAUAACGGUAACGGCUGUUACCAAUAAUUAAAAUUUUUUAUUAUCCUUUAUCUUCUGCUCCCUAUUCUCAUUUUCUUUAGUUUCUACACUUUUCAAUAGCUUUAAAGACUAUAUUUUUUAAGCUUUCUCUUCCCUUUCUCUUUCAAAUUUCAAUUUUCCCUACAUAUUUCUCGUAUAAACUUAGAUUCAUUAUAAACUACUCUAUUUUCAAGCUUAUUUCUUCUAAAAAGGUAGUCAAAUUUUAUCUAUUUUAGUUUUUAAUUGUUGUUUUUUUCCAUUUUUUGUAAGUUUUUGUAGAUUAAAAUGUUAGUUUUGAGUUAAAAUUGUACUUUGAGCAAUUAGUUUAAUCGAUCUAUAAAGAUUAUGUUGAUUUUUCUUAUUUUAAACUAUAUGAUGUUUAACUUAAGUUAAAUAAUCUAUAUUUUAUAUAUUUAUAUUUAUUAUGCAUUUGUAUACAUUGUUCUGAAUUAAAUCUAAUCAAUCUCAUUUUAUUUAUGAACUUUCCAAUUUUUUUUAAAAUAUUUGCGUAGCGCCAAGCCGUUACCGUUACCGUUACGUUACGGCCGUUAAAAGUCUAUUUCUGUUACCCGCGACCACGACCGCGAACGUGGCCGCGACCGUUGUUUAAAAUCAUGAUGCAAACAAAAGGAAAGUUAAAGGGGUAGCAUGCCGGCUCAAGGGAG